RNA transcript from Juglans microcarpa x Juglans regia, 2212 nucleotides. It is a transcript of the gene named purple acid phosphatase 23, with no coding region annotated. NCBI's taxonomy places the organism in Eukaryota, Viridiplantae, Streptophyta, Magnoliopsida, Fagales, Juglandaceae. The transcript is spliced from 10 exons. The record is from RefSeq and is a predicted model, not a curated record.
CAUCCCACAUAUGCCAAAGCAGCCAAACUUCAUCAACCCCAACAUCUCCAUCUCGAACUACCAAAAACAUCGAAACUAUUUCCUUGUCCGCCAUACAAAAAAAUUAAAGCCAUUGAUAUUUACUGUACCAAGAAGGCAAGAAGUAACGGCAACAAACAAGAAAAAAAAGUAAAAAAGCAGAGACCCCCCAAUGAUGGACUGCAAGUUAUGGUUCCCUCUGACCACUUUCUUGAUCAUAACAAUGCUGGUUGUUACUGAAGCUCGCAUACCCACUACUCUGGAAGGCCCAUUUAAGCCAGUGACUCAACGCUUAGAUCCUUCUUUGCGUAGAGGCAGUGAUGACUUGCCAAUGAAUGAUCCAAGGCUCAAGAAGAAUCUCACCUCGAACUUCCCAGAACAGAUAGCUCUUGCAAUUUCUUCUGCAACUUCAAUGUGGGUUUCCUGGAUAACUGGGGAUGCUAAGGUUGGUUCAAAUUUGACCGAGCUUGAUCCUUCGUCGGUCGCGAGCGAGGUGUGGCAUGGGAAAAAAAGUGGCAAGUAUACUAGGAUAGCGAAAGGGGUUUCCACCGUUUACAGUCAAUUGUACCCAUUUGAAGGCCUCUUGAAUUACACGUCUGGUAUCAUUCACCAUGUGAGGCUUAAAGGUCUUAAACCGAAAACAAAAUAUUACUUCAAAUGUGGGGAUAGCUCUAUUCCAGCUAUGAGUGAAGAGCAUGUCUUUGAAACUUUUCCAGUGCCUAGCCCAAAAAGUUAUCCGAGUCGGAUAGCAGUUAUUGGAGAUUUGGGUCUCACAAAAAAUUCUACCACAACAAUUGAUCAUUUGAUUCAGAAUGAUCCUUCAAUGAUUUUAAUGGUUGGAGACCUAACUUAUGCAAAUCAAUACCGUACAACUGGUGGAAAAGGAGCUGCAUGCUUCUCAUGUGCAUUUCCUGAUGCACCUAUCAGGGAGACGUAUCAACCCCGUUGGGAUGGGUGGGGAAGAUUCAUGGAGAAGUUAACCUCAAGAGUUCCUAUGAUGGUCAUUGAAGGCAACCAUGAGAUUGAGCCUCAAGUUGCUGGGAUCACAUUCAAAUCAUAUUUAACGCGAUUUGCAGUUCCCUCAGUGGAGAGUGGCUCUAAGAGCAAUUUCUACUACUCUUUUGAUGCUGGAGGAGUACAUUUUAUCAUGUUGGGAGCAUAUGUUGACUACAAUAGUACUGGUGCUCAAUAUGCCUGGCUAAAGGAAGAUCUACAACACAUAGACCGCACGGUAACCCCCUGGCUGGUAGCUGCAUGGCAUCCACCUUGGUAUAACAGCUAUUCUUCACAUUAUCAGGAAUUUGAAUGCAUGAGACAGGAAAUGGAAGCAAUUCUGUAUCAGUAUGGUGUCGAUAUUGUUUUUUCUGGUCACGUGCAUGCUUAUGAGCGCAUGAAUAGAGUUUAUAACUAUACAUUAGAUUCAUGUGGACCUGUCUACUUAACAGUUGGAGAUGGUGGAAAUAUUGAGAAAGUUGAUGUCGAUUUCGCAGAUGACCCUGGAAAGUGCCCUUCUGCUGCAGACAACAUACCAGAGUUUGGAGGUACAUGUCAUUUAAAAUUUUCAUCUGGUCCUGCUAAAGGCCAGUUUUGUUGGAACAAACAACCAGAGUGGAGUGCAUACAGAGAAAGCAGCUUUGGGCAUGGAAUACUUGAGGUUGUGAAUUCUACUUACGCAUUAUGGACUUGGCAUAGAAACCAAGACAUAUAUAAGGAAAAUAGCCAUGGCGAUCAAAUAUACAUUGUGCGGCAACCUGAAUUGUGCUCUACACUCAAAAAAGUGGUGGUCUUAUCUCUGUCUCACACUUGCAGCCCUCACUUCUGCUCUCUCCGGCUCCCCUCCCUGCUCUAUCAGUUUCUACUGCUUGUUGCCACCGCCACUCUCAAUUAAUCCUUCUCUUCUCACCACUCAUAGGGGUUCUAUCUCUCUUUGCCACUCCCAGGCAUUCUCUAUAUGUGUGCUUAAUGGGGUAUUAGGCAAUCUCUUUGCUUCAACCAUCGGCUCUGCGGCUGCCCCUCUCCUAUAUACUCUCUACUCGAGCUAUUAAUUUCCUUUUUAAUCUAUUUAGUAAUUGUUUGGUUAAUUGAUGCAAAACUAUCUCGAAAUUGUUUGGAUUUGAAUCAUUGGAUUUCCACUGCCUAUGUUGUAAAUAGAAUGCUUAUUUUUUCCAAUUUAAGUAUGAAAGCGUUUAUCCAC